Peromyscus leucopus (white-footed mouse) is the source of this 553-nucleotide long non-coding RNA. RefSeq lists it as uncharacterized. The record is from RefSeq and is a predicted model, not a curated record. The transcript has 3 exons. Lineage: Eukaryota; Metazoa; Chordata; Mammalia; Rodentia; Cricetidae.
UUUUUUUCUUGGGUAGACUUUUCUAAUGUGAGUAGCAUCAUGGGAAAGUCAGGAUUAGACUGUAACACUUCAUGUGUUUGCUGUUUCUUAGUGACAUCAGCACUAAACAAAUGAAAAACAACAGCAUACUUUAACAUAUAGUGCCACUUCUGAGUCUAGCUAAGAUAAAAUAGUCGACAGGUUAGACAUCUCUACCUCUUUGGUUCUCAUUGUAUUCUGUUUCUGUUUUCUGUAAUAAGCUUCAGUCGAUUCCUCAAAUGAGUUGAAAGCUUUCAGAAAAUCCUGUGCUCACUAAAAUAUCCAUUCACUGUUUUGUUUCUUACUUUGCUAGCUCAGUGACCUCUCGGAAUGGGCAGCACAAGGGGGUGGCCACAGGACCCUGCUCUAUGGGCAUGCAAUUCUCCUGCGGCACUCUUUCAGUGGAAUGUAUCUGACAUGCUUGACCACAUCAAGAUCCCAGACAGAUAAACUUGCCUUUGAUGUAGGUCUGCGGGAACAUGCCACAGGUAAGUUGUCAUCCCUAGGUUCAGCCUGUGGGAUCUUGUGCUAAGGA